UACGAAGGGUGCAAACGUUGCUCGGAAUUAUUGGGCGUAAAGCGCACGUAGGCGGCUUAGCAAGUCGGAUGUGAAAUCCCUCGGCUCAACCAAGGAAGUGCAUCCGAAACUGCUGAGCUUGAGUACGAAAGAGGAUCGCGGAAUUCCCGGUGUAGAGGUGAAAUUCGUAGAUAUCGGGAGGAAUACCAGUGGCGAAGGCGGCGACCUGGGCCAAUACUGACGCUGAGGUGCGAAAGCGUGGGGAGCAAACAGG
RNAcentral lists this ribosomal RNA (253 nucleotides) under uncultured bacterium. Its description in RNAcentral is "partial 16S ribosomal RNA". It matches the Rfam family "Bacterial small subunit ribosomal RNA", at positions 524 to 776 of the family's 1533-position model. The record is from RNAcentral.